GUAGGUGGCAAGCGUUGUCCGGAAUUAUUGGGCGUAAAGCGCGCGCAGGCGGUCCUUUAAGUCUGAUGUGAAAGCCCACGGCUCAACCGUGGAGGGUCAUUGGAAACUGGGGGACUUGAGUACAGAAGAGGAAAGCGGAAUUCCAAGUGUAGCGGUGAAAUGCGUAGAGAUUUGGAGGAACACCAGUGGCGAAGGCGGCUUUCUGGUCUGUAACUGACGCUGAGGCGCGAAAGCGUGGGGAGCAAACAGGGAUUAGAUACCCUGGUAGUCCACGCCGUAAACGAUGAGCGCUAAGUGUUAGGGGGUUUCCCGCCCCUUAGUGCUGCAGCUAACGCAUUAAGCACUCCGCCUGGGGAUACGGCCGCAAGGCUG
Molecule: ribosomal RNA, 372 nt
Filed under: uncultured organism
Description: partial 16S ribosomal RNA
Rfam family: Bacterial small subunit ribosomal RNA
Source: RNAcentral